GAUGAACGCUAGCGGCAGGCCUAACACAUGCAAGUCGAGGGAGAAGCCCUUUCGGGGGCAGAAACCGGCGCACGGGUGCGUAACGCGUAUGCAACCUACCUUUCACAGGGGGAUAGCCCGAAGAAAUUUGGAUUAAUACCCCAUAAUAUUAUUGGAUGGCAUCAUUUGAUAAUUAAAACUGCGGUGGUGAAAGAUGGGCAUGCGUCCUAUUAGCUAGUUGGAGUGGUAACGGCACCCCAAGGCUACGAUAGGUAGGGGUCCUGAGAGGGAGAUCCCCCACACUGGUACUGAGACAGGGACCAGACUCCUACGGGAGGCAGCAGUGAGGAAUAUUGGUCAAUGGUCGGAAGACUGAACCAGCCAUGCCGCGUGCAGGAAGAAUGCCUUAUGGGUGGUAAACUGCUUUUAUAUGGGAAGAAUAAGGCGUACGUGUACGUUGAUGACGGUACCAGAUGAAUAAGCAUCGGCUAACUCCGUG
RNAcentral lists this ribosomal RNA (478 nucleotides) under uncultured bacterium. RNAcentral describes it as "partial 16S ribosomal RNA". It matches the Rfam family "Bacterial small subunit ribosomal RNA", at positions 28 to 507 of the family's 1533-position model. The record is from RNAcentral.